GGGCUGGGAGGAGGACCUGCUGCCUGAGGAGAGGGAGGUUCCUCUGCUAAACCUCUACCUUACCACCAAGAGAGUGGAGGACAUCGGCCUGAGGCUCAUCUCCCUGCGCCAGGCAUUUACUGAUGAGGCCGAAUUCAUCCGUGCCUAUAACGACUUUGUGAACUACCUGAGUGACCCCUCCAAGCAGAUUGACA
This is a long non-coding RNA of Coregonus clupeaformis (lake whitefish), 194 nucleotides long. RefSeq lists it as uncharacterized. The record is from RefSeq and is a predicted model, not a curated record. The transcript has 3 exons. Lineage: Eukaryota; Metazoa; Chordata; Actinopteri; Salmoniformes; Salmonidae.